Molecule: ribosomal RNA, 278 nt
Filed under: Hydropus sp.
Lineage: Eukaryota; Fungi; Basidiomycota; Agaricomycetes; Agaricales; Mycenaceae
Description: partial large subunit ribosomal RNA
Rfam family: Eukaryotic large subunit ribosomal RNA
Source: RNAcentral
CGUGAAAUUGUUGAAAGGGAAACGCUUGAAGUCAGUCGCGUUGGUUGAGAAUCAGCCUUGCUUUUGCUUGGUGUACUUCUUGAUCGAUGGGUCAGCAUCAGUUUUGAUCGUUGGAUAAAGUUCGAGGGAAUGUGGCAUCUUCGGAUGUGUUAUAGCCUUCGUUCGUAUACAAGCGGUUGGGACUGAGGAACUCAGCACGCCGAAAGGCCGGGUUCUUAACCACGUACGUGCUUAGGAUGCUGGCAUAAUGGCUUUAAUCGACCCGUCUUGAAACACGG